This 518-nucleotide ribosomal RNA is filed under the name Enterobacter cloacae. Its description in RNAcentral is "bacterial SSU rRNA". It matches the Rfam family "Bacterial small subunit ribosomal RNA", at positions 155 to 668 of the family's 1533-position model. Lineage: Bacteria; Pseudomonadati; Pseudomonadota; Gammaproteobacteria; Enterobacterales; Enterobacteriaceae. The record is from RNAcentral.
AACGGUAGCUAAUACCGCAUAANGUCGCAAGACCAAAGAGGGGGACCUUCGGGCCUCUUGCCAUCGGAUGUGCCCAGAUGGGAUUAGCUAGUAGGUGGGGUAACGGCUCACCUAGGCGACGAUCCCUAGCUGGUCUGAGAGGAUGACCAGCCACACUGGAACUGAGACACGGUCCAGACUCCUACGGGAGGCAGCAGUGGGGAAUAUUGCACAAUGGGCGCAAGCCUGAUGCAGCCAUGCCGCGUGUAUGAAGAAGGCCUUCGGGUUGUAAAGUACUUUCAGCGGGGAGGAAGGCGAUAAGGUUAAUAACCUUGUCGAUUGACGUUACCCGCAGAAGAAGCACCGGCUAACUCCGUGCCAGCAGCCGCGGUAAUACGGAGGGUGCAAGCGUUAAUCGGAAUUACUGGGCGUAAAGCGCACGCAGGCGGUCUGUCAAGUCGGAUGUGAAAUCCCCGGGCUCAACCUGGGAACUGCAUUCGAAACUGGCAGGCUANAGUCUUGUACAGGGGGGUANAAUU